UAUGGGGGCAGUCCUUCUGGGCUUUCUCUCACCAAUCAUCUUCCUUCAUCUGGCUUUGGCCUGACUCAGAGCCCUGCCCUCAGGAUGGAUUUGAGCACAAGGGUCUCUGGGAAGUUGACAGGAUGUGCUGUGGUCUGGUACCCCUCCUUUCUCUGACCCCUGAGGAAUGUUUCUGCAGGUGUUUAGUUCCGGAGGUCUCCUUGACCUCAGGAAUGAGAAGUAGAUGAUUUCUAUCUUUUAUCCAAGGAGGAUGCAGCUUUUGUCUUGAAGUUCUCUGUCCACAGGCAACAGAUGACAAUUGCUCAGCCUGGGACCCACCAAUCUCCUGAUUCGAUUCUACUCACAAAAUUGUUUCUUGACAUAUUCAUCCUUAGGACAAUAUAAUGUUCAGGUGGUGCCUACAAAAAUAGACAUUUUAUUUUGUCUCUUAUAUUUCCACAUUCUCUAAGAAUUAACUUAUUAACUGAGGUUAAUUGGGAGCAGAUCUGUGGCUAGGAUUUGAGCCAUAGAAAUGGACAUUUUUGAGUUGGGAUACCUCAAAAAUCCCAAGAUGUUUAAACAUACUUAGCUUUAGGGGAGCAUAAGCGGAGUAAACUACUAGGAAAAAAAUUAUAGAAACAACUUGAAAUGAACAAAAGAAAAAAUAUAUAUAUAGUGUCUUCACUAGGAUACCUUUUGCUACUUGACUAUGGCUACUUUAUAACCUUGGUGUAGAAAACUGGCAGUGGGAAACCCAAAAUAAUAAAAUGAUUCAUAGAAAAGCAAAUGGAUUCUGCUUGAUGGAAAACAAUUGUUUAAUCCCCAGUGGAUAGAGUGAUUGUACAUCUUUUGUAUAUUCAUGUUAGCAUUUGUUAUUUCCUAGGUAUGUGGAGUUUUUUGAAUUCUUUGAACUGGCUAUAGCAUCUUAACCACUCAUUAAUGAGUUAAGUGAAUUGACAUAGCAUUGUUCAAAAUUGUACGAGAGUCAUCAAUUUACCUUUUUUUUCCUCCAAAAAUUAUUUUAACAGUAUAAGUCAGUGGUUCCAAAUUCUGGUUUUCACAGAAAUCCCUAGAGGGCUUGUUAAGACUCAGAUCACUGAGGCCCAUUUUUAGAAUUUCUGAGUCAGUAUUCCUGGGUGGGGCCCAGUAACUUGCAUUUCUGACAAGUGCAGGUGAUAUUGGUGCUACCUUGUCCAGACACUAUACUAUCACAAUCACUGGUAUAAAAGCACAGUACCCCAGGAUAAUGAUGGCAAUACCCCACCAAAACCUUCAAUUUACCUAAACAGAACGAUAUUCCUUCUAAAACCUAAUUUGCAGCCCUAAACUAUUUUCAGGUCCCUAUGUGAAAAGAAUGUUUCUGGUGCUUUCAUUUUUUUUUCCCCCCUCUAUGGCUGGAUAAAUCAGCCUCUUAAAUCUCCUGAUUUGGGCAUUAGAAAUAGUGGCAGCUUCUAUUAAGUGAUGUGAUAGGAAAUAGGAAGGUAUCAUAGAAGACAAUAUAAGAUUCACUCUAGACCAAUUAUGUAGUUAAUUACUCUAGCGUGUGAAUUUAGCCUUCAAAGCAAUCUCAUUCCGGCUGAGGAAAAAGCUUCUACAGACCAUUAUGGGGUGUGUGUGAUGUUAGAAAGGGGAAGACAGCCCCAUUGUUGGAAGAAGAGUGUAAAAGCAGUGUAAUCUGAAAUAAACAUAAGUGGAACUGUGUUUUCCCUGAGCUGUAGUCUUCAUUGCUUAAUAAGUCCUUUCUAUUCUAAUUUUUAUGAUUCAUUUGCUCUUUGGGACAAGUUAUCUAUUUUUUUCUUCUUUCUCCUUUCCUGUUGCAGGGUAUGCAUUAUCCUUUUCUAUUGUGGCUGUAGAAUUCAAUACACAUUUUCAUUGUCAGACAGGAGGGUAGUAGUGGAGAGUAAUUUAAAUGAGCAAACAUCUUUUUUCCUAUUUAAAUCAAAAGGAAAACCUGAUACCCAUGAGUGAACACCAUAUACCUGACCUAGAUAUGACUAUUGUCUUCCUUUUAUAUCCUCACAUUUCAUAAACAGAGGGGAAAAAAGUAAAAGCAAAUCCUGUCAUUGGCAUGCUGGUAGUGGAAAAAAUAUAGGCAGAACUUUCAAAUACUUUGAGGUGGCUUUUUAAAAAGUCUUUUGUGAACCUAUAAAACAUAAGGUAAAUUAAAUCUAAUUUGCAUGCAAUUUGUCAUUUAUUUAGAGGUUGAUGGCAAUUAAGAAAUGCAAUUUGUUCUUUAACACUGUAUUUCUCUCUCAUGUACAUUGAAAAAAUGCAUCCCAUUCCUGUUAUAUUCGUGAGGUUACAAUGGUGCACUCUAGUGGACAAACUGAAUACUUGAUUUUGUACAUAAAAUUUUGAUGAGGUUUUCAUAAUUGUGUACAUUUAAUUCAAAUAGAAACUCAGUAAUGGCACUUAGGUAGAAGACAAUUCAUCAUUUUAGGGAGAGAGUGUUUGGGGACGGGAUAGUGUCUCUGAACAAAUUUCACUUUUUAGAAAGUAAGUUUCUUUUUUCCCUCAUCCUUUCUUUCCUUUCCCUUCCUUCUUUUCAUUUUCUUUUAACCAAUGAACCCUCCAUUCAACAUUAUAAAGCGAAUUUAAAGUUGUCACUUGAAAGCUGAGGACAUAAAUGAAAUGUGUCAUUAUCAAUUUUAGAACUAUUUUAGGAAGUUUUCACUUUGGUGGAGAAACCUAUUUUAACAAAAGCAUUUUGCAGUGGAACCUCUUCAUAUUCCUUUAAUAUGAAUAGGAUAUCAGAAACAUCUAACAUAGAAAUUCACAAAGACUUGCAUUAACUGGUUGAUGCUUAACACUAGUAUUAGGAGUAAAAAUAUCUGUGAAAUACCUUAACCUGAGUGCAGUGAUAAUUUGGGACUAAAAUUUUUUUGCAUCUUAUUCUAAACUAUCUAGUAAUGAUGCAUAUCUUUAUGUGAAUUUUCUAAAAUAAUGUUUGUAUUGCCUAUCCUCUUUAAAAAUAUCCAUACAUGAAAUUUAGUUCUUUUAAAAUUUCUAUAGUAUGUCGUGAUGUGUUUAAUAGGUAAGAUGUCUUAUGUUUAUAAUAUUUACAAUUAUACAUAAUUUGAGAAAGUCAUUUGUUUAUCCCCAUAUCUAAUGUUGUAUCCAUUACUAAAAUAUUGGUAAAGAAACAGAAGAAAAGUAAACAGCAACAGAGGUAUAAUCUGUUCAAAUACCAAUCACCUAAACUCUUUCAUUCAAAAUAAGGCUGUACUUUGAUAAAUAAAGCCUUUUCCCUUGAACUUUUAUCAACUAAGAGAGUUAUCUAAUAAGAGUUUAUCAAUUAAGAAGAGUCAUUUAAGAGGCAAACUGCACCCUAAGUGAUUUUGCAAAUUAUUGUGGAGAAUUGUUAACAACUGCUUUGUUAUAAUGGAAUGACCUAAUAGCUUCCUGCAGUCAUAACUGUGCCUCUUAGGAGUACAUGUAGUCAUUUUUCCUUUAAACUUACCCUACGUUGGUAUGAAAAGCCUUGAGAAGAAGCCCCAUGAGCAUUUCUCAGCAUGGAAGUUGUGAAUGUGGACAGGCUGUUGAACGUGAGUAUGUGAAGAACAUUGCUAAUCAAAUUCCCUAUUCCAGUCUGGUUCACUCAUGAGACUCAGUUGACUCUAAAGUAAUCUUGGAUUUGAACUUGCUGUUUCAGGACAGUACAUAAAUAUUAUUAACAAGAUAAAUGAGGUUAAAAGAGUUGCCUCUACUCAUUCUCUCUCAUUCACCAAAAAGGAUUGGAUUAAAUUCAACUGAACAUGGUGCACAGGUGUUCAGAGGAAAUGAACUUUUAAUUGUAUUUCACUUGAUUUUUAUUUUACUAUUUGCCCCUUUAAAACAGUCCUAAUAGUGAAAAAAAAAAAAAGGUAACUUCAACCUAUUGUGAUAUAGAGAACCAGUGCUGAGUAUUGCACAGAAUUCAUUCUUUUUAGGCAACAGCAAAAAGCAAUAGCAACUUUAUGUAUCUAGAGGCAAAAUGACAUGGAUAUUGGAGUAGCUCAUAAAACUAAAGAAAGAGGUGCAGAACCAAUGCCUGGGAAAUACAGGUGCUAUGAAUGAGCAGGAAAUAUCAGUAAUAUAAAUUUAUGGACCUUCCCUGAAUGCUCCAUUAGAGAACUCAGCAUAUGGAGAUUUGAUAUGUGGAAAAGUUUCAGAUUCCUCAAAGAAAGAAUCUUAUAUUUGGUCAAACACUAGCCCUUUUAUCAAGCCCCCAAAACAGAGGUGACAGAAGGAACUAUAAUACUCAGCUUCAUGGGGAUCACUUAGAAGGAUGAAUGGUAAAGGGAUGUAGGAGAAGGAGAGAAAGGAGGUUGAGUAGCCAAAACAAUCAAAUAUUCAUUACAUUCUAACUCCUGUCUUAGUACUACACAUCUACCUAUGUUCUGAAAUUUUAAGAGCAUUCUCU
This 4381-nucleotide long non-coding RNA is filed under the name Sus scrofa (pig). RNAcentral describes it as "lncRNA (ENSSSCG00000054985.1)". Lineage: Eukaryota; Metazoa; Chordata; Mammalia; Artiodactyla; Suidae. The record is from RNAcentral.